RNAcentral lists this ribosomal RNA (483 nucleotides) under uncultured bacterium. RNAcentral describes it as "partial 16S ribosomal RNA". It matches the Rfam family "Bacterial small subunit ribosomal RNA", at positions 30 to 507 of the family's 1533-position model. The record is from RNAcentral.
AUUGAACGCUGGCGGCAGGCCUAACACAUGCAAGUCGAGCGGAUGAAGGGAGCUUGCUCCUGGAUUCAGCGGCGGACGGGUGAGUAAUGCCUAGGAAUCUGCCUGGUAGUGGGGGAUAACGUCCGGAAACGGGCGCUAAUACCGCAUACGUCCUGAGGGAGAAAGUGGGGGAUCUUCGGACCUCACGCUAUCAGAUGAGCCUAGGUCGGAUUAGCUAGUUGGUGGGGUAAAGGCCUACCAAGGCGACGAUCCGUAACUGGUCUGAGAGGAUGAUCAGUCACACUGGAACUGAGACACGGUCCAGACUCCUACGGGAGGCAGCAGUGGGGAAUAUUGGACAAUGGGCGAAAGCCUGAUCCAGCCAUGCCGCGUGUGUGAAGAAGGUCUGCGGAUUGUAAAGCACUUAAGUUGGGAGGAAGGGCAGUAAGUUAAUACCUUGCUGUUUUGACGUUACCAACAGAAUAAGCACCGGCUAACUUCGUG